GGCUCUGUAGUUCAAUGGAUAGAAUAUAAGUUUCCGGAACUUAGGAUGCAGGUUCGAUUCCUGCCAGGGCUA
RNAcentral lists this transfer RNA (72 nucleotides) under Flammeovirgaceae bacterium. RNAcentral describes it as "tRNA-Arg". It matches the Rfam family "tRNA". From Rfam's summary of the family: Transfer RNA (tRNA) molecules are approximately 80 nucleotides in length. Their secondary structure includes four short double-helical elements and three loops (D, anti-codon, and T loops). Lineage: Bacteria; Pseudomonadati; Bacteroidota; Cytophagia; Cytophagales; Flammeovirgaceae. RNAcentral also lists the same sequence under 1 other name. The record is from RNAcentral.